Molecule: ribosomal RNA, 253 nt
Filed under: uncultured bacterium
Lineage: Bacteria
Description: partial 16S ribosomal RNA
Rfam family: Bacterial small subunit ribosomal RNA
Source: RNAcentral
UACGUAGGGUGCAAGCGUUGUCCGGAAUUAUUGGGCGUAAAGAGCUCGUAGGCGGUCUGUUACGUCGGCUGUGAAAACCUGGGGCUCAACCCCGGGCCUGCAGCCGAUACGGGCAGGCUGGAGUUCGGUAGGGGAGACUGGAAUUCCUGGUGUAGCGGUGAAAUGCGCAGAUAUCAGGAGGAACACCGGUGGCGAAGGCGGGUCUCUGGGCCGAUACUGACGCUGAGGAGCGAAAGCGUGGGGAGCGAACAGG